CGAACGCUGGCGGCGUGCUUAACACAUGCACGUCGAACGGAAAGGCCCCUUCGGGGGUACUCGAGUGGCGAACGGGUGAGUAACACGUGAGUAACCUGCCCUUGACUUCGGGAUAACUUCAGGAAACUGGGGCUAAUACCGGAUAGGAAUCCUUGCUGCAUGGUGGGGGUUGGAAAGCUUCGGCGGUUUUGGAUGGACUCGCGGCUUAUCAGCUUGUUGGUGGGGUAGUGGCUUACCAAGGCUUUGACGGGUAGCCGGCCUGAGAGGGCGACCGGCCACAUUGGGACUGAGAUACGGCCCAGACUCCUACGGGAGGCAGCAGUGGGGAAUAUUGCACAAUGGGCGGAAGCCUGAUGCAGCAACGCCGCGUGCGGGAUGACGGCCUUCGGGUUGUAAACCGCUUUCAGCAGGGGCGAAGCUUGUGGUGACGGUACCUGCAGAAGAAGCACCGGCUAACUACGUG
Molecule: ribosomal RNA, 463 nt
Filed under: uncultured bacterium
Lineage: Bacteria
Description: partial 16S ribosomal RNA
Rfam family: Bacterial small subunit ribosomal RNA
Source: RNAcentral